GUUAUAGGGACAAGCGAAUAAGUGCACAUGGUGGAUGCCUUGGCGAUUACAGGCGAUGAAGGACGUAGUAGCUUGCGAUAAGCUGCGGGGAGU
RNAcentral lists this ribosomal RNA (93 nucleotides) under Janthinobacterium lividum. RNAcentral's name for it is "partial 23S ribosomal RNA". It matches the Rfam family "Bacterial large subunit ribosomal RNA", at positions 1 to 86 of the family's 2925-position model. The record is from RNAcentral. Lineage: Bacteria; Pseudomonadati; Pseudomonadota; Betaproteobacteria; Burkholderiales; Oxalobacteraceae.